This 651-nucleotide ribosomal RNA is filed under the name Serratia sp. (in: enterobacteria). Its description in RNAcentral is "bacterial SSU rRNA". It matches the Rfam family "Bacterial small subunit ribosomal RNA", at positions 815 to 1463 of the family's 1533-position model. Lineage: Bacteria; Pseudomonadati; Pseudomonadota; Gammaproteobacteria; Enterobacterales; Yersiniaceae. The record is from RNAcentral.
AUUUGGAGGUUGUGCCCUUGAGGCGUGGCUUCCGGGAGCUAACGCGUUAAAUCGACCGCCUGGGGAGUACGGCCGCAAGGUUAAAAACUCAAAUGAAUUGACGGGUGCCCGCACAAGCGGUGGAGCAUGUGGUUUAAUUCGAUGCAACGCGAAGAACCUUACCUACUCUUGACAUCCAGAGAACUUUCCAGAGAUGGAUUGGUGCCUUCGGGAACUCUGAGACAGGUGCUGCAUGGCUGUCGUCAGCUCGUGUUGUGAAAUGUUGGGUUAAGUCCCGCAACGAGCGCAACCCUUAUCCUUUGUUGCCAGCGGUUCGGCCGGGAACUCAAAGGAGACUGCCAGUGAUAAACUGGAGGAAGGUGGGGAUGACGUCAAGUCAUCAUGGCCCUUACGAGUAGGGCUACACACGUGCUACAAUGGCGUAUACAAAGAGAAGCGACCUCGCGAGAGCAAGCGGACCUCAUAAAGUACGUCGUAGUCCGGAUUGGAGUCUGCAACUCGACUCCAUGAAGUCGGAAUCGCUAGUAAUCGUAGAUCAGAAUGCUACGGUGAAUACGUUCCCGGGCCUUGUACACACCGCCCGUCACACCAUGGGAGUGGGUUGCAACAUACGUAAAGUAGCUUAUCCUUCGGGAGGGCGCUUACCCACUU